This 65-nucleotide transfer RNA is filed under the name Streptomyces albireticuli. It matches the Rfam family "tRNA". From Rfam's summary of the family: Transfer RNA (tRNA) molecules are approximately 80 nucleotides in length. The record is from Rfam by way of RNAcentral. RNAcentral also lists the same sequence under 1 other name. Lineage: Bacteria; Bacillati; Actinomycetota; Actinomycetes; Kitasatosporales; Streptomycetaceae.
CGGUAUGGGGUCCUAGCACUUGACUGGGGGUCAAGGGGUCGUGGGUUCAAAUCCCGCCGUCCCGA